Long non-coding RNA from Pristis pectinata (smalltooth sawfish), 1285 nucleotides. RefSeq lists it as uncharacterized. NCBI's taxonomy places the organism in Eukaryota, Metazoa, Chordata, Chondrichthyes, Rhinopristiformes, Pristidae. The record is from RefSeq and is a predicted model, not a curated record. The transcript is spliced from 6 exons.
CAUCUUGGUAAUGGAGAUGGAUGGGAUCCAGUACUCGAUGGGAACUCUUCUGUUUCAGUGGAGAGUCGUUUGAGGUGGACUAUUACUAUCAGUUGGCAAAGGGCAGAGAGAUCCCUCUGUAAUUUCCGGAAAUGAACGAGAUCCCUGUCUUCCCAGGUAUAUUGCAAAAUAGGUGUGAAAAGGCAUCUUAGUUUAUUGGCGUUUAUACAUAAGGGCAGUGCAGUUGGAGGCUGAUUAGCAGGAACGUCCUCUGAAGAUUUGGCACUUCAUGUGAGGGGCUGUUGCUGGCUUCGUCCUGGGUGCAGUCAGCAGAGAGUUCGCUGAUGGAUCCCUACAAUGGAAAGCUGAGAAAAGGAGAGAUUUUCUGUCACUGCACGAAGCGGCACAAUGGGAUGGUGAGAUGCAAGAGAGAGACUGCUCAGACCAUCAAAUCAAACAGAAAAUGUGUUUGCAAAAAGAAAGGAAAGUACCACCGGCUGAAGCAAUGUUUCCGCAUCUUUUCCCCGGACGUCCUCAGCUGAGGGACAAGCCAGGAAUGAGGAGGAUUGGACGAUCCAAGCCUCCUGCAACCACCGCCUCCCCGCCCCCCCACCCCCGGCCCUUUCACCGAAGCCCACGCCAAUGCUCUUUGCUUAAGGAAUGUGAUCGCCCUGCACAGCCUCGCCCUCAGCCUUUGCUCCACGGCCAAUUCCUUGAUCAUUAUUUCAAUCCAUCAUUCCCUGCUCUUUUGAUAGAACAAGCAAGGAUUGUCUGCAAAGGAAACUGUUAAACACAGCUGGGAGCAAGGAACUCAGCGCUACGAGCAGCAUCUGUGGAGGAAGAGUUGUCGAAACCCUGCCUCACAAUUAAAUACCAAGUUCCUGCCACCUCCCACUAAAUCAGCCCGCUCUCACCUGCCGCCAGCUGUGUUGGAUCCAUCUGAUUGCUCUGGGCAGCUGCUCACCUUUUAUCUGAACCACGGCAGGUAACAGGACUACCUACCUCCCACAGUGCACAAGGCUGGCCAGUGGUUGCUUUAUUCGUUUUUCAGAAAACGACAAAGCUGCAGCUGUUGGUAAUCUGGACUGUAAACACAUGCUGAAAAUGCUCAGCAGGUCGGGCAGCGCCUGUGGAGACAGACACAGUUACCAUUCCAGCUGCAUGACCUUUCAUCAGAACCAGGUCAAAAAUUAACCCUGUUUCUCCCUGUACGGCUGCUGUCUGACCUGCUGAGUAUUUCUGUUUUUUUUAAAAAAUAUAUUUCUUAAUUUCAAUCUUGCUUUUUACCAAUUUUGUUGAGAUCUAA